RNAcentral lists this ribosomal RNA (406 nucleotides) under uncultured bacterium. RNAcentral describes it as "partial 16S ribosomal RNA". It matches the Rfam family "Bacterial small subunit ribosomal RNA", at positions 30 to 526 of the family's 1533-position model. The record is from RNAcentral.
AUUGAACGCUGGCGGCAGGCUUAACACAUGCAAGUCGAACGAGUGGCGGACGGGUGAGUAAUGCUUGGGAAACUGCCUGAUGGAGGGGGAUAACUACUGGAAACGGUAGCUAAUACCGCAUACCAUCGGAUGAGCCCAGGUGGGAUUAGCUAGUUGGUGGGGUAAAGGCUCACCUAGGCGACGCUCCCUAGCUGGUCUGAGAGGAUGACCAGCCACACUGGAACUGCGACACGGUCCAGACUCCUACGGGAGGCAGCAGUGGGGAAUAUUGCGCAAUGGGGGCAAGCCUGAUGCAGCCAUGCCGCGUGAAUGAAGAAGGCCUUCGGGUUGUAAAGUACUUUCGGUGGGGAGGCGUUACCCACAGAAGAAGCACCGGCUAACUCCGUGCCAGCCGCCGCGGUAAUUC